CCUACGGGGUGCAGCAGUGGGGAAUAUUGCACAAUGGGGGAAACCCUGAUGCAGCGACGCCGCGUGAAGGAAGAAGUAUUUCGGUAUGUAAACUUCUAUCAGCAGGGAAGAAAAUGACGGUACCUGACUAAGAAGCCCCGGCUAACUACGUGCCAGCAGCCGCGGUAAUACGUAGGGGGCGAGCGUUAUCCGGAUUUACUGGGUGUAAAGGGAGCGUAGGCGGCGAUGCAAGUCAGAAGUGAAAGCCCGGGGCUCAACGGCGAGACUGCUUUUGAAACUGUAUGGCUAGAUUGCAGGAGAGGCAAGUGGAAUUCCUGGUGUAGCGGUGAAAUGCGUAGAUAUUAGGAGGAACACCAGUGGCGAAGGCGGCUUGCUGGAUUGUAAAUGACGCUGAGGCUCGAAAGCGUGGGGAGCAAACAGGAUUAGAUACCCGGGUAGUC
Molecule: ribosomal RNA, 440 nt
Filed under: uncultured bacterium
Lineage: Bacteria
Description: partial 16S ribosomal RNA
Rfam family: Bacterial small subunit ribosomal RNA
Source: RNAcentral